Molecule: long non-coding RNA, 255 nt
Filed under: Homo sapiens (human)
Lineage: Eukaryota; Metazoa; Chordata; Mammalia; Primates; Hominidae
Description: non-protein coding lnc-RND3-6:2
Source: RNAcentral
UUGCUUCACAGGACAAAAGGGAUUUUAAUUUGAAGAAAGAGAGGAAGAGAGAAAAUGACAAAGGGAAGAGAACUAACGGGCGGGAAGGGUGAGAGACAAAAGGAAAAGAUAAGAGAGAAGCACAAAAGGUGGUGGCGUCUCACAGGUCAGAAGAAGCUGCGUGAUGGGAGGUAAAGCAUUCUCUUCCCUGCAUUUUUCUUUGCCACUUACCCUCCUCCCCUCCCCUUUCUCCUGCCUCACCCCCAACUUGCUCAA